This is a non-coding RNA of Ricinus communis (castor bean), 108 nucleotides long. NCBI's taxonomy places the organism in Eukaryota, Viridiplantae, Streptophyta, Magnoliopsida, Malpighiales, Euphorbiaceae. The record is from Rfam.
GUAUCUAUGGUGUGGGUAUUGCAAUAAAAAUGAUUUGAAACGAUCUCAUACUUCAUGAAAGGACUUAGUAUCCUUUUGAUCAAAAUUAAAAAUUUCAGCUCUUAAUUC